CCUUUUUUUUUUUCUUUUCUUUUUUGAGAUGUAGCCUUGCUCUGUCACCCAGGCUGGCGUGCAGUGGUGUGAUCUCAGCUCACUGCAACCUCUGCCUCCUGGGUUCAAGCAAUUCUCCUGCCUCAGCCUCCCUAGUAGCUGAGAUUACAGGCGCCCGCCACCAUGCCCAGCUAAUUUUAUUUUUAGUAGAGAUGUGGUUUUACCAUGUUGGCCAGGCUGAUCUUGAACUCCUGACCUCAGGUGAUCUGCCCACCUCGGCCUCCCAAAGUGCUGGGAUUAUAGGUGUGAGCCACCAUGCCCAGCAAAAAAUUCAGUUUCUUGGUGGCACUAGCUGUAUUUGAGGUGCUCAGUAGUAUCUUACUGGAUGAGUGCAGGCAUGCAACAUUUCCAUUGCACCAGAAAGUUCUGUCGGAAGUGCUGUUUAUGUUAAUUGCUGGGUAUUGCUGGAAGGAGUUGCUGUGGUCAUUAUCGCUGGUCCCCUGUCCCAUAUUGAACCGUUCCGGCUCUCAUUGGUUCUUCUUGCUGCUCCUCUCUCUGUUGGGCCCUUCCUGCUUUCUUCUCGGCAGCCUCUCACUCUCCCUUUGCCUGACCCCACCCAUAAUGUUAAAAACUCCGUGACUUGCCUUCAUCCACCUCCUCUGCCCCUGUCAUUUUCCCACGUGCUCCCUGCAGCCUGUCUGCGUAUCUGCCCUUUCAGCUGCUGGCAUCUGGAAUCUCCAUGUCCAGGCUCUGAAAUUCCCACUACCCAUUCCCAGUGGGAGAGGGGGAGGAGGCCUCCCCUGGCAGUCCCUAGUCCCCAGCUCCCAGCAGAGGUGCCGGCUGCCUGGGCCCCUCAGGGGGGCGGAGAUGAUGGUUUGUUGUGACGGGGGCAGUGGGCAGCCUGCCUGCUCUAACGCGCCCGUAUCAGGGCGCCAAGCGUGCUGUUUGCACUUGGCUGGGCCCCGGGAUCUGGCCGGGUGCCCGUGAGGGCUGGCCCGCUUUGGCACCCUUGGUGACAAAAGCCAAUCAUGGACCCUCCACCUGGUCAGGAACACAAGGAGCCGGUCCUGGGCUGGGCCCUGGGGUGAGGGGCAUGUCUGACACCCAGAACCAGAGUGCAGGACAGAGGCUGUGGCUGUGGCUGGGCUCUGGGUGCUGAGUGGGACAAGGCCCAGGCAGGCAUAGGCAGGAUGUGAGCUCUUGGGGGUCAGGCAGGUCGUUGCUCUGGGUGGUUCAGGGGACAGGGUCUGCACCUGACAUUCACACUUGCCUGGGGAGGAACUUUGGCCUGAGAUGCCAGAGAAGCUCAAGGUCACCUCCCAGCACCAUACUUUCUCCUCCCCUUCCUUUUGGGCACAUCAUCUGCGAAGUGGAUGAAAUAGACAAGUCUAGCCCAUGAGUGACAAGGACAUUGAGGCCCUACAAGGAGAUGCAGCUGGUCUGAGAUCACAUGACCAGUCCCUGGAAGAAUCAGAGC
RNAcentral lists this long non-coding RNA (1456 nucleotides) under Macaca fascicularis (crab-eating macaque). Its description in RNAcentral is "lncRNA (ENSMFAG00000061347.1)". The record is from RNAcentral. Lineage: Eukaryota; Metazoa; Chordata; Mammalia; Primates; Cercopithecidae.